RNAcentral lists this ribosomal RNA (296 nucleotides) under Cronobacter dublinensis 582. RNAcentral's name for it is "Small Subunit Ribosomal RNA; ssuRNA; SSU rRNA". It matches the Rfam family "Bacterial small subunit ribosomal RNA", at positions 814 to 1109 of the family's 1533-position model. The record is from RNAcentral. Lineage: Bacteria; Pseudomonadati; Pseudomonadota; Gammaproteobacteria; Enterobacterales; Enterobacteriaceae.
GACUUGGAGGUUGUGCCCUUGAGGCGUGGCUUCCGGAGCUAACGCGUUAAGUCGACCGCCUGGGGAGUACGGCCGCAAGGUUAAAACUCAAAUGAAUUGACGGGGGCCCGCACAAGCGGUGGAGCAUGUGGUUUAAUUCGAUGCAACGCGAAGAACCUUACCUGGUCUUGACAUCCAGAGAAUCCUGCAGAGAUGCGGGAGUGCCUUCGGGAACUCUGAGACAGGUGCUGCAUGGCUGUCGUCAGCUCGUGUUGUGAAAUGUUGGGUUAAGUCCCGCAACGAGCGCAACCCUUAUC